AAAGGAAUUGACGGGGGCCCGCACAAGUAGCGGAGCAUGUGGUUUAAUUCGAAGCAACGCGAAGAACCUUACCUGGGCUUGACAUCCCAAGAAUCCUGUGGAAACACGGGAGUGCCCUUCGGGGAACUUGGUGACAGGUGGUGCAUGGUUGUCGUCAGCUCGUGUCGUGAGAUGUUGGGUUAAGUCCCGCAACGAGCGCAACCCUUGUUGUUAGUUGCUACCAUUAAGUUGAGCACUCUAGCAAGACUGCCUGGGUAACCAGGAGGAAGGUGGGGAUGACGUCAAAUCAUCAUGCCCCUUAUGUCCAGGGCUACACACGUGCUACAAUGGUUGGUACAAAGAGAAGCAAGACCGUGAGGUGGAGCAAAUCUCAUAAAACCAAUCUCAGUUCGGAUUGUAGGCUGAAACUCGCCUACAUGAAGCUGGAGUUACUAGUAAUCGCGAAUCAGAAUGUCGCGGUGAAUGCGUUCCCGGGCCUUGUACACACCGCCCGU
RNAcentral lists this ribosomal RNA (494 nucleotides) under uncultured bacterium. RNAcentral describes it as "bacterial SSU rRNA". It matches the Rfam family "Bacterial small subunit ribosomal RNA", at positions 903 to 1397 of the family's 1533-position model. The record is from RNAcentral.